Molecule: ribosomal RNA, 689 nt
Filed under: uncultured bacterium
Lineage: Bacteria
Description: bacterial SSU rRNA
Rfam family: Bacterial small subunit ribosomal RNA
Source: RNAcentral
AACGCUAGCUACAGGCUUAACACAUGCAAGUCGAGGGGCAGCAUGACCUAGCAAUAGGUUGAUGGCGACCGGCGCACGGGUGAGUAACACGUAUCCAACCUACCGGUUAUUCCGGGAUAGCCUUUCGAAAGAAAGAUUAAUACCGGAUAGCAUAACGAGAAGGCAUCUUCUUGUUAUUAAAGAAUUUCGAUAACCGAUGGGGAUGCGUUCCAUUAGUUUGUUGGCGGGGUAACGGCCCACCAAGACAUCGAUGGAUAGGGGUUCUGAGAGGAAGGUCCCCCACAUUGGAACUGAGACACGGUCCAAACUCCUACGGGAGGCAGCAGUGAGGAAUAUUGGUCAAUGGACGAGAGUCUGAACCAGCCAAGUAGCGUGAAGGAUGACUGCCCUAUGGGUUGUAAACUUCUUUUAUAUGGGAAUAAAGUGCAGUAUGUAUACUGUUUUGUAUGUACCAUACGAAUAAGGAUCGGCUAACUCCGUGCCAGCAGCCGCGGUAAUACGGAGGAUCCGAGCGUUAUCCGGAUUUAUUGGGUUUAAAGGGAGCGUAGGCGGACUAUUAAGUCAGCUGUGAAAGUUUGCGGCUCAACCGUAAAAUUGCAGUUGAUACUGGAUGUCUUGAGUGCAGUUGAGGCAGGCGGAAUUCGUGGUGUAGCGGUGAAAUGCUUAAAUAUCACGAAGAACUCCGAUUG